CCUACGGGUGGCAGCAGUGAGGAAUAUUGGUCAAUGGUCGGGAGACUGAACCAGCCAAGCCGCGUGAGGGAUGAAGGUACAGAGUAUCGUAAACCUCUUUUGUCAGGGAACAAAGGCGGGGACGUGUCCCCGGAUGAGUGUACCUGAAGAAAAAGCAUCGGCUAACUCCGUGCCAGCAGCCGCGGUAAUACGGGGGGUGCGAGCGUUAACCGGAUGUAUUGGGUUUAAAGGGUGCGCAGGCGGUCUGUUAAGUCAGCGGUGAAAUGCCCGGGCUCAACCCCGGCACGGCCGUUGAAACUGGCAGUCUUGAGUUGGAGAGAAGUAUGCAGAAUGCGCGGUGUAGCGGUGAAAUGCAUAGAUAUCGCGCAGAACUCCGAUUGCGAAGGCAGCAUGCCGGCUCCACACUGACGCUGAGGCACGAAAGCGUGGGUAUCGAACAGGAUUAGAUACCCUUGUAGUC
This 460-nucleotide ribosomal RNA is filed under the name uncultured bacterium. RNAcentral describes it as "partial 16S ribosomal RNA". It matches the Rfam family "Bacterial small subunit ribosomal RNA", at positions 338 to 795 of the family's 1533-position model. The record is from RNAcentral.